GGAAGGAAAGGGAGCGCCAGGCUGCCCUCCGGAUAACACUUUCUUAAUGGAGAUGGCUAUGGGAAAUCCGAUAGCCUUUUCUUGUCCUAUAUAACGGUUAUUGGAAGAGGUGGGUAUCUCCGCAUCCUUUGGGGGCACGGGGGCACGGAGCCUUGCAAAAGAGGCGAUUCAAGCGAAUGAAUGGGUUUUAUAUAGGAAGUUUCACUGCUUUGAAUAAUUUGUUUUAUAGGAGGCGAAGUCAAAAGAAUCUUUUCCAAUAUACUUUUUUUUCUAUAAUAAGAAUGAUGAAUUCGGAAUACUGGCUUGCUCUCUUACAGAAAAUACAUUUCGAUCUUCCAUCUUCCACCCGCAUCUUCC
RNAcentral lists this ribosomal RNA (357 nucleotides) under Bacteroides fragilis CL03T12C07. Its description in RNAcentral is "partial 16S ribosomal RNA". Lineage: Bacteria; Pseudomonadati; Bacteroidota; Bacteroidia; Bacteroidales; Bacteroidaceae. The record is from RNAcentral.